This 487-nucleotide ribosomal RNA is filed under the name Taenia hydatigena. Its description in RNAcentral is "partial 12S ribosomal RNA". Lineage: Eukaryota; Metazoa; Platyhelminthes; Cestoda; Cyclophyllidea; Taeniidae. The record is from RNAcentral.
CUUUUUUAUAGACUGGAUUUAUAUAUUUAUAACUAAAAUUAGGUUAAAUUUUUUUUUUUCAAAGUUAAAUAUUUAGAUUGAUGAAAGAUGUAUAAUAGUGACAGGGAUUAGAUACCCCAUUAAUGUACAUUGUAGCUUUGUCUUAGUUAAUAUAACUAAAAUAAUUUGGCAGUGAGCGACUCUUUUUAGGGGAAGGUGUGGUGUAAAGGAUGUUCCGCCUAAUAAUUUACUUUCGUUAUGUUGGUGUAUAUCUGGUUUAAUAUUAUCGUUGAGUAAGUGAGUUUGUGUAGUUUUAUUUAAGCCAAGUCUAUGUGCUGCUUAUGAAAGUAUUCAUGCGUUACAUUUAUAAGGUUUUGGUUGUAAUACUAAAAUAUUUAGGACUUAAAAGUAAUGUUCAAUAAGUUUGUGAGUGUGAAGUAAGUUUAGCUCAUGUACACACCGCCCGUCACCCUCGAUGCAUAUUGAGGUAAGUCGUAACAAGGUAAUU